Molecule: ribosomal RNA, 889 nt
Filed under: Mycobacterium sp.
Lineage: Bacteria; Bacillati; Actinomycetota; Actinomycetes; Mycobacteriales; Mycobacteriaceae
Description: bacterial SSU rRNA
Rfam family: Bacterial small subunit ribosomal RNA
Source: RNAcentral
GGCCCUUCGGGGUACUCGAGUGGCGAACGGGUGAGUAACACGUGGGUGAUCUGCCCUGCACUUCGGGAUAAGCCUGGGAAACUGGGUCUAAUACCGGAUAGGACCACACGUUUCAUGGUGUGUGGUGGAAAGCUUUUGCGGUGUGGGAUGGGCCCGCGGCCUAUCAGCUUGUUGGUGGGGUAAUGGCCUACCAAGGCGUCGACGGGUAGCCGGCCUGAGAGGGUGUCCGGCCACACUGGGACUGAGAUACGGCCCAGACUCCUACGGGAGGCAGCAGUGGGGAAUAUUGCACAAUGGGCGCAAGCCUGAUGCAGCGACGCCGCGUGGGGGAUGACGGCCUUCGGGUUGUAAACCUCUUUCAGCACAGACGAAGCGCAAGUGACGGUAUGUGCAGAAGAAGCACCGGCCAACUACGUGCCAGCAGCCGCGGUAAUACGUAGGGUGCGAGCGUUGUCCGGAAUUACUGGGCGUAAAGAGCUUGUAGGUGGUUUGUCGCGUUGUUCGUGAAAUCUCACGGCUUAACUGUGAGCGUGCGGGCGAUACGGGCAGACUGGAGUACUGCAGGGGAGACUGGAAUUCCUGGUGUAGCGGUGGAAUGCGCAGAUAUCAGGAGGAACACCGGUGGCGAAGGCGGGUCUCUGGGCAGUAACUGACGCUGAGAAGCGAAAGCGUGGGGAGCGAACAGGAUUAGAUACCCUGGUAGUCCACGCCGUAAACGGUGGGUACUAGGUGUGGGUUUCCUUCCUUGGGAUCCGUGCCGUAGCUAACGCAUUAAGUACCCCGCCUGGGGAGUACGGCCGCAAGGCUAAACUCAAAGGAAUUGACGGGGGCCCGCACAAGCGGCGGAGCAUGUGAUUAAUUCGAUGCAACGCGAAGAACCUUACCUGGG